RNAcentral lists this ribosomal RNA (551 nucleotides) under Arcopilus cupreus. Its description in RNAcentral is "eukaryotic LSU rRNA". The stretch from base 204 to 357 matches the Rfam family "5.8S ribosomal RNA". The record is from RNAcentral. Lineage: Eukaryota; Fungi; Ascomycota; Sordariomycetes; Sordariales; Chaetomiaceae.
CAAGGUCUCCGUUGGUGAACCAGCGGAGGGAUCAUUAACGAGUUCCAUUCUCCUUAAUACACCCGUGAACGUUUCUUCAACUGUUCGUUGCUUCGGCGGAGCGGCCCCGGGGAGGGGCCGCAGCCCGCAAGGGCGCCCGCCGGCGGCAGCGCAGCACAACUCUUGCGAUUUAGGCCCCUCUGAGAAGACACUAAAUGAGUCAAAACUUUCAACAACGGAUCUCUUGGUUCUGGCAUCGAUGAAGAACGCAGCGAAAUGCGAUAAGUAAUGUGAAUUGCAGAACUCAGCGAAUCAUCGAAUCUUUGAACGCACAUUGCGCCCGCCGGCAUUCCGGCGGGCAUGCCUGUUCGAGCGUCAUUUCAACCCUCGAGCCCUGCUCGGUGUUGGGGCCCCGCGGCCGCCGCGGGCCCUGAAAAGAAGUGGCGGGCGCGCCUGGACCCGUAGCGCAGUAAUACACCUCGCUCGCGGCGUCCCGGCGCGUGCCGGCCGUAAAACCCCUUUAUCUCAAGGUUGACCUCGGAUCAGGUAGGAAUACCCGCUGAACUUAAGCA